CUAUACAUGACUCUGCGCAUAUCAAUAAGCGGAGGAAAAGAAACUAACAAGGAUUCCCCUAGUAACGGCGAGUGAAGCGGGAAGAGCUCAAAUUUGAAAUCUUAAAGGGUUUCCCUUUACGAAUUGUAGUUUAAAGAAGUGUUUUCUGUUGAGGUUUUGGUAAAAGUUCUUUGGAAUAGGACAUCAUAGAGGGUGAGAAUCCCGUAUUUGACCUUUACUUUCAACUUUGUGAUACACUUUCAAAGAGUCGGAUUGUUUGGGAAUGCAGUCCAAAAUGGGUGGUAAAUUUCAUCUAAAGCUAAAUAUUGGCGAGAGACCGAUAGCGAACAAGUACCGUGAGGGAAAGAUGAAAAGAACUUUGAAAAGAGAGUUAAACAGUACGUGAAAUUGUCAAAAGGGAAGCGUUUGACACCAGUGUUGUUUUUCUGAAAAUCAAUUAAAGAACUGUUUAUGCUAAGUUGUUUAGACUUUAUCAGCUAAUCUGCUUAGUUUUGAGCUUUUCUUUAAUGCACUUUUCAGUUAACAAGUCAACAUCAAUUUCUUUUGCUGUAAAAAAGCUUGAGGAAGGUGGCUUGAGAUUCGUCUUAAGUGUUUAUAGCCUCUUGCCUAUGCAGUCGGAGAGAUUGAGGUCUGCAGCGUAGAUCCUUCGGGGCUAAAUGCAUUUGUGCUAAGUUAUAGCAUUUUAUAGACAACUUGUUGACUAUGAUUUGUCUUGUAGCUUACUCGCUUAUGUUAUUUUACCUACGCUUAGGAUGUUGAUCUACAGAGCGAGAGU
This 775-nucleotide ribosomal RNA is filed under the name uncultured Neocallimastigales. RNAcentral's name for it is "partial large subunit ribosomal RNA". It matches the Rfam family "Eukaryotic large subunit ribosomal RNA", at positions 22 to 631 of the family's 3401-position model. Lineage: Eukaryota; Fungi; Neocallimastigomycota; Neocallimastigomycetes; Neocallimastigales. The record is from RNAcentral.